CACAGAACUGCUAACAACAAAUUUUACAUUUCACUACUGGUCUGAACUAUUUUUUACCGUAGUCUCACAGACUAUUUCUCUUGCUUCUGCACAUGUAGCGGAGAACAGAGCUGGAAAGCAGUAGCUGAAGAAAACAUGCAGUUGCCAGCCCGAAAGAGCAGUAAUUACAGUGCUCUCACUGUGUGGAUACGCAUGCAUACUCAGAAUAGAAAGGCAUCAGGAGCAGUUCAAAAUGACAGAUGGUUUGGCAACUUUUUUCAGUGAGUGCAAAAUAAAAAAAAACCUAACUAUGCUGCUGAGAAAUUAAAAAAAGGUUAAUUAGCCAAAAAUUGGCCUUUUAAGGACAAAAUAUUAAAUUGUGAAUUAACGUAAAUUCUACCAUUCUGUUUUGUGCAGUCUCAAAAAAGAACAUGAAAUCUUUAUUUCAACUUCCAAGCUUUGCAGAAUUUUUUGUUAUGUCUGAACUUAGUUCUCUUUAGUUUACAAGUCAAUGCCUAGUAUAUUCUCCCUGGAAUCCCAAACAAAAGCAGCUUCAAUUUCCAAGAUGCUGUCAUUCAAACUAGAUCACAAUACCUGAAAUGCCGCUCAACACACGCUCAAGUUGCAGUAAACAGGUUAACAUUAUAGAUAACAGAAUCACAGAGUUGGAAGGGAUCUUGGAGAUCUCAUCCCCUGCUCAAGCAGGAAACCCUAUACCAAAUUGAAAACCUUUCCUAUAUUUUAUUUAUACUAGGGAUAGUGGGCCAU
Molecule: long non-coding RNA, 747 nt
Organism: Ahaetulla prasina
Lineage: Eukaryota; Metazoa; Chordata; Lepidosauria; Squamata; Colubridae
Exons: 3
Source: RefSeq, a predicted model, not a curated record